RNAcentral lists this long non-coding RNA (6708 nucleotides) under Panax ginseng (ginseng). RNAcentral's name for it is "long non-coding RNA (PGIN_LNC015915)". The record is from RNAcentral. Lineage: Eukaryota; Viridiplantae; Streptophyta; Magnoliopsida; Apiales; Araliaceae.
CAAAAUGAGGAGGAAAAGAUAGCUCCCUAACUAUGACCUUUUUGCCUCUUAAAUAACUCACUCUUCCUUGUAUAUUAAUCAAGACUCCUUUACUUUCUUAGGUCCUUCCUACUUAAAAAAAAAAAAAACCUUUCUUUCCAAUAAAGUAUGUUCCUCAAACCUUUGCAUCAUUCAGUUCUAUACCCCUUUAUACAACACUAAACAAAUUAUAGUCUGAAUCUUGUAUUAUAUGUUUAUAUCCUGCAAUUAAAGCUAAAAAGAGAUGGUAUGGGAUACCUUGAUUGUUCAUCACUCAAUGAUCUGACCUGAAGUUGGGAUCCAUUGCAUUUCUGAAUGCCACUUUAUACCCAUCUUAGUAGAGAUAAAUAUAGCCAGAAACUUACUUAAUACUAGCAAGUGUCUAUUUAAAUUACCUAUACUAGUCAAAUACAGUGCGAUGCACGUGGAAUACAGAGUAGGGAAGAAUUUUUAAUUAUGGAUGUUACUUACUUUUGAUAAUGGGUAAUUACUUUUUCUUCCUUUUUUUCCUCUUCUUUAUUGGUGUGUGUAGGAGCAGCUCAAAUUUCGCAAAGAAUUUUGAACUAAUAAAAAUAUAGCCAUGCUUUCUAUUGCAUCUACAUUGGGUGUAAUUAAUGUGCAAUCAACUUUUUGUUAUUAUGAAAUCAGAAAGUAACAGUUUCGAACAGAUCAUACUUACUUCUUGUCUCCAUCAUGGGGUUGUUCUGGUCAGGUGCUGGUCUUCUGAAGCUUCACAAUGAUAUACAAACCUGUGGAUAUGAAGAUAUUCAGGUGAUGUGGGAAAUGCUUAGGAGAACAGAAUCAGAGUUGAUUUCACGCCGCCCCAAGUUGAAACAAAGACCAUUUUGGAGGAUUUUUGUAUGGGACAACCAUGAUGCUGCCUCAUCCUUCUCCAUAAACCAAGCUUAACAAGUGUCUCUGGUUCAUACUACAAUAGUAGUUGUCUCCUUAAUCUCCUGCAACAAAACAUGGAUGGCAUCAGUAUUCACAAGCUUGCGGAUAACAGUUGAGAAUGAUAUGGAUCGGAGAAAUUGGAACUGUGUCCAUAUCUAAAUGAUAUUAAGUAUGUAUACCCGGUCCACCUUUAUUGCCAUUUCCCAUUAUAAAGAAUUCUGUCACAAUGGUGAAGUCAUUUGUAAAUAUACCAUGUUUUGCCAUUAUCCAAAAUCAAGUCAUACAGGGUGGAAAAUUUAGUGAACUCAAUAUUGUACUUUUGUCAAAACUUUGGGUGAUCUGUGACUGAUGUGUAGAUGAGAACAUCUGUUGUACAUGAGCAACCAAAAAGUAAUUUAGCACUUUAAAAUUUCAUCUGUUUAGCUAUCUAAUACCAUCUCACCAGCUACCUGUAUACUCAUGUAUAACUAUUCAACCUGUAAGUAAAACCACUUGUAGAGACUAAUUCUAUAGUCCCUAUUUAGCUAGAUGAUACUAUUUCAAGUAUUCAAACCGACAUACUGGAACAUUAACUGAAAGAGCUAUCUUUUCACAAAAAAUUAUUCAACAUUUAGCUCCAACUUGUGCCAUCAAGUAAAAUCAGUCCAAGCACACCACUUCACAUCAUCUCAUUUUACUGUCAAAGAGCCCAAAACACCAAGAGGAAUGAUCCUCAGGUGGCCAGUCCCAAUCCGUAGUGGUUGCAAUUGUCCAGUAUGUGUGGUAUUGGCAGACAUAGCUGGGGUUUACUCUGUAGGGACGAGUCCUACGUGGCACAUGGUUUGAUUGGUUCCUAUUUAGGGGGGUCUAGCCAAGGGGGAAAAAAAUUAUUACCUAGGCCAUACCCAGUAAACCACAUCAACAAAAAGGAAAUCUACAAGGCACUAUUUGGAACUUGAAAAAACACGGGAAAGAAAAAAACAAAAUGUAAGUAAAAAUUAAAACACACGAAAUAAUGUUAGAUCUAAGCAUACAGUGAAGGUUUUUUUCUCAGCCUCUUAGGCCUUAUUGGAUCUGGUGGUGAUCCCGAAUUAAUGAAGAUGAGGGAGAGACUUGAACCAAUUUUGGUAGAGUUAACUUUGCCAAUUUUGGUGGACCUGGAGUUGAUCCCAAGGUUUCUGUGUGCUCAGUGAAGGCAAAGGUUCAAGUCCCAAACUCCACCAAGAUUAUCAAUAAGCCAGUAAAAACCUCCUAAACGUUGUACACUGCUUAAGUUGAAAGGUAUUUUAAACCUAAUAUAAUAAAUAUAAUGAAGCCACGUCAAGGAUACAUGAUAUUUUCUGCCAUAAAUUAUAGACAAUAUAACCUUGAAAGGGUAUAUUCACUGUUACUAAUUGUAUACUACACACCAGCCCAUACAGAUACCAUGAAAGCUUAAAGCAAGCAUAGCAUAAAAUAUACCAAGUUACAAGUUUGUGGAGCUGCACACACAGUGAAACUCCACCAACUCCAUAUGCUAUUUUAUAUCAUAUACAAUGUAACCAUGUAAGGAUAUAUUUACUGUUACUAAUUGCCUACCAUUAUGAAACCUACCCCUAAAAAUACCAUAACAGUGUAAAAGAAACACAACCUUAAAAACAUUAAGCUACAGCUUUGAAAAUCAAUAAUGAGAAUGUAAUAAACUAUAGAAGUUCAACUUAAAAAUGGAAACCCACAAGAUACAAUAAUAACAGAACAUCAAAGAGAGCUAAUUUGAGUUAGGCGGAUACAUAGAGUCAUAGAACUUACAGAAUCUUCUCACAAUGUAGCAAGAAUGUCAAUCGCCAAAACUAGAUGCCAACCUGUACUAAAACAGGUAAAAAGAAGUUGUGAGCCAAAGAUUCACUAGAUCUAAAGAAGAAGAAAUUCAUCAUGUUGCCAGACAAGGAAGAUAAUAAACAGAUGAAGAAAGAUGUGUUUUCCCUUUAUAUAUAUAGGUAGUUUUGAGCCUAAGUAAAGAGGCAACCUUUAUAUCCCCUAAGAAAAGCUCUUUCGUCACACAACACAAGGAUAUUAUGAGCAGUCUUUUUCAAUUGGAUAAAGAAGUAAUGUUAUUAGUAACAAUAUUUGCAUUUGUUUUCAACUUUAAACAGGGAAAAAACGAUGNNNNNNNNNNNNNNNNNNNNNNNNNNNNNNNNNNNNNNNNNNNNNNNNNNNNNNNNNNNNNNNNNNNNNNNNNNNNNNNNNNNNNNNNNNNNNNNNNNNNAGAAUUGAAUAAAAAUGAAGUAAACACCAACUAACAAACCAUAAUGACAUUUCAGUAAAUAGUUCUUACCUCUCAACAGCUAAUCCACCUAUAUAAUCAGUAAUUACUGCUCAAUGGCUAGAAGACCUACUAGGAAUAAACCUUGAGGUCGCUAGUUCAAGUCCCCUUGAGGACAUGCCAUGAUUAAUUACUUGUGAAUCCCCUAGUACUAGUGGAAAAGUAUGCCUUUGACCAGACUCUGGUGAGCGAGGACAAAGCCACAUAAGAACAAAAACAAAUGAAAAACGGCUAGAAGACCUGUAUCAGCUCAGUGUACAUGCAUGAGACCAAAACUAGAAGAUAAAGUAAGAAUGAAGUACUACAACAAAUGUUUUCAUCUCUUCAAUAUGAUUAUGUAGCUUCUUCAAGUAAGGUGUGACAUGAAGGCAGGGGGAAGGGGAAGAAGCACGCAAUAUAGUACUGCAACAAGUAUCCUUAAACUUCUUGAUUUGGAACAAGCAUGUCUCAGCAUUCUAUAGGAAUGAGGUAAAUACAACAUUAGAAACAACAAACAAAAGGAUGAAUAAGCAUUCAGUCUUUUGAACCUACGUGAUAACAUUCAAUAAGAAAAAGUAAUCAGAUCUGUUUUUGGGAUGAUGGGAUUUAUUUAUUUAUUUUGGAGGGAGGGGGGAGGGGGGAUGAUAGGAGUAGGGGGAGGAAACACAGAGACACAUUCCGUCAGUUAUUUCUAAAAUCCCGUGGGUAGGAGUAUACGGAUAUCCUGACACCAGUAUACAAUUGAUUUUGCAAGAAUGGCAGACAAAGUUUAUCCAAUGACCGUAAAGAGUUUAAAACCUCAGAGAGGUUUACUGCUGCAUCAAUCGUGAUUAAUCAUUGAACCGUGUAGUUAAUGUUGAGAUUCCAAUCAAUGCUUACAGUUGAAAAUACAUGCACAAGAACUACUGCAUCAUGUAAUUUCAGCUUUUUACUAUAAUACUGAGCUACACAAAUUAUUCCUACAAAACUGUUCUAAAUUUCCUCAUUGACUCUAAAUUACAAAGAAACUGAGAAAAAUAUGCAGUGAAAAAUAUGCUAAUCUUACAACAGAACAACCUGUAUAGGCAUUCUUUUUUUUUCUUCUUUUCAAGUCCCUUUUGAUUGGUUGCUGUCAAAUAUGCUUUCUGACCAAGUAGAAACUCUUCUGCAGGAUAAUACAAAGGUUUCCUGAUCUCGUCUCCAUUAUUUUCUCAGGGAUACAUCUUUUGUCCAAGGGCAGUUGACUGGUUUAAAAGGUCAUGAAAGAGAACUCACUGCAUCAAGACUGCCCAAGGGAUGAAGAAACCAGCAUGGCUUUUGAUCCAUUACAGACCGAUCCAAACCCAACAGGAAAACAACAAAGUGUGGUCUUACAUUUCUUUGUCAAAUGCAUGUGUGCAUAUUUUUUCCAGCAGUAAGGGCCAGUCCUCGCCAAGCUGCUGCGGAUUUAGCUCCAUUGCAACUUUGAAAUCUAACAAAGAAAUUGGGAAGCGGGGUAUGUGUUCAUGCAUGCCGUUAACAAGCUUCAACAGAGCCUGAUGCUUGUGGGGUUUGUGGCUCGCUGGCCCACGCCCUGAUCUGGCUCCCUCAAUUUCAAGAGAAGACCUAACUAAACCCUUCAAGUAAGCAUUUAAACCAUUGUUCAACAUGUUGGCACAGUCCACUGACACUGCUUCAAGACCAUGUAUCGUAGCAAUCUGCUCCAUGUGUUCCCUCAGUGUCAUAGUAUCCAACAAACCACCACUAUUACACGAGCUAACAACUUUACUGCUACUUGCUAAAGGCAAUGCCGUGCGGGCUCCACCUACACUAGAAAUGCAAAAUGGAAUGCCAAGUGGAGGAUGGAGUAAUCUCCUAGCUGCUGCCUCUUUCCCAUCUGUUUUAUAGAGCAAUUCCGUCUGGUCUUUGCUAUGUACAGAAACCGUAUCAUCUGCUGACACUGUAGACAAUUUAGCUGGGUGGUCACCUAAAAGUUCCUCUUCAUUUUCUGUUUGCUGCUUGAGUCCUUGAUGAUGCUGCACUGCCCUUUGAAUAUCAGGUGGAGCCAACUCCCCAUUCUCUAAAAUAAUAUUAAAUUCACCGCACUGUGCGCUCGGUGAUUGUUGAGAAAUAAAGUGUGUCUUCCCAUUUGGACCAAGAGCACUACGACGGUCACCAACCCUCCGAUCGCGAGUUCCAGUUCUGGCCUUUUUGGGUGAUAGUGGCAGCAUGUCUCCAUUUGACAAAGCUACAUGAUUUGGAGGCGGGUUUGUAGUAGGAUGGGACCCAUUUUUAUGAUACAGAUCACUUGAAGGCUCUUUAUUUCCAACUGCUCUUGUAGCUUUAAGAACUUCCACUUCAUGAGCGGGUGGAGGAACUUUUGCUAUACAAGCAUUUUUUAGAAUCGAACAAAUAAACUGAUUGUGCAGUUGAAUAUUCUCUCUCCCAACAAUCCGUAGAAAAAUCUUAUUGAACUCAACCUUGUUUAGUUUCAAACUCAAAAAUCUAUUCAAAUAAUUAAAAUACUGCUUGGACCUCUCCGGUCCAAGUUUCCUUACCAUCUGAGCUUUCAAUUCAGCAAGAUUGAUCCUUGAGUGCUGAUGUGGUGGUUGCAUCUCUCAACACAUAAAAUCCAUACACAACAGAGAGGAUUAUCAAUUUUCCACUGUUGAAAAAAUUAAAAUUUUGAGACCCAACACAAGCACUAUAUUAGGGUUUGGUCCAUUUCGAAAAUCUCAUCUCCCAAACUAGAGUGAACCCCUCCAACAUCACUAAAGUUAACACUGUACUAAAGCCCAUCUUCAAAAACCAAACCCUAAUGGCACAAAGAUUACAAGGGUUUCGUUUCCAUAACCAAAGAUCCCAGUUCCCAACUAACUCUCCCUCCAAAACUCAAUUGCCAAAAUUUUAAACUUCCAAUCCACCAAACUCAACCUAUUAUCUAACCAAAACUAAAUUGCAAAAAAAAAACCCUUUAUCUUAAGGCAUACCAUCCAAAAACCAUAAAAAAGAUACCUCUCUGUCACUCCAAGUAAACUUCAAUUUAUUCAAAUUAAGAAGCUCACGCUAUCAAUAUGACUCUCUAGUAUACCUCAAACAAACUCAAAUGUAACAAACAGAUGAAGUACUGGAGUUUCUUGCUUCAGAGUUUAAAAUUUUCAAACAAAUUUGGAAUGAGACAGCAGACAUUGAAGAGAUUUAAGCUUCUGCGAGACAAAAUUCGAGUUUAUACAGAGAGGAAAUUGGAACUCUGACCUUAUUGUUAGCUUCACAAUACUGAAUCAAAAUUCAGAUUCAGAAUUAGCAUUCACAAAGGCUUCUUCGUUGGAACCCACGUAUACACAUCUUCCCGUUGUGUUAUAUCCACUUUCUCUUUCUUCAAAUUGCUUGGCAUUUCGAUUCUGUUUGAUACUAUCGCUCUCAAAUAUCUCUCUGUAUAAAUUGAAUCAGAGAUGGAAAAGACCCCAGUGAUCGAUCCUUCGAUACUCUCUCUCCUCUUUCUCUCUCCUGCGGGCUCUUUUUUUUCGUUUGUGUCCGUAUAGAGAGAGAGAGGAAGAAAGAGAGAAAGUAAAUUGUUU